This 606-nucleotide ribosomal RNA is filed under the name uncultured bacterium. RNAcentral describes it as "bacterial SSU rRNA". It matches the Rfam family "Bacterial small subunit ribosomal RNA", at positions 26 to 678 of the family's 1533-position model. The record is from RNAcentral.
AGAGCGAACGCUGGCGGCAGGCCUAACACAUGCAAGUCGAACGGAUCCUUCGGGAUUAGUGGCGGGCGGGUGAGUAACACGUGGGAACGUGCCUUUAGGUUCGGAACAACUCAGGGAAACUUGAGCUAAUACCGGAUGUGCCCUUAGGGGGAAAGAUUUAUCGCCUUUAAAGCGGCCCGCGUCUGAUUAGCUAGUUGGUGAGGUAAAGGCUCACCAAGGCGACGAUCAGUAGCUGGUCUGAGAGGAUGACCAGCCACAUUGGGACUGAGACACGGCCCAAACUCCUACGGGAGGCAGCAGUGGGGAAUCUUGCGCAAUGGGCGAAAGCCUGACGCAGCCAUGCCGCGUGUAUGAUGAAGGUCUUAGGAUUGUAAAAUACUUUCACCGGUGAAGAUAAUGACUGUAGCCGGAGAAGAAGCCCCGGCUAACUUCGUGCCAGCAGCCGCGGUAAUACGAAGGGGGCUAGCGUUGCUCGGAAUUACUGGGCGUAAAGGGAGCGUAGGCGGACAUUUAAGUCAGGGGUGAAAUCCCAGAGCUCAACUCUGGAACUGCCUUUGAUACUGGAUGUCUUGAGUAUGAGAGAGGUAUGUGGAACUCCGAGUGUAG